AACGCACCUUGCACCCUUUGGUAUUCCGAAGGGUAUACCUGUUUGAGUGUCAUUAAUAUCUCAUCAACUUAAAGUUUUUGUGCUUUAUAUUGAUGGAUUGUGAGGGUUUGCUGGUCUAUUCAGGAUCAGCUCCCUUUAAAAGUAUUAGCUGGAACAGCAGAAUCAGCUUUGGUUUCAUAAGAUUGUUAUGUAUGCUAUUGCUGAGGAACAAAAGUAUCUGGCUUAGAAUUGUCCUUUGGGACUUGUCCAAUUGGACAAACUAUUGACAUUUGACCUCAAAUCAGGUAGGAUUACCCGCUGAACUUAA
Molecule: unclassified non-coding RNA, 307 nt
Filed under: uncultured fungus
Lineage: Eukaryota; Fungi
Description: sequence contains ITS2
Rfam family: 5.8S ribosomal RNA (bases 1-52)
Source: RNAcentral